GACGAACGCUGGCGGCGUGCCUAAUACAUGCAAGUAGAGCGCACAGUUUAUACCUUCGCUUGCUACACCAUAGACUGUGAGUUGCGAACGGGUGAGUAACGCGUAGGUAACCUGCCUGGUAGCGGGGGAUAACUAUUGGAAACGAUGGCUAAUACCGCAUAAUAUUAAUUAUUGCAUGAUAAUUAAUUGAACGGUGCAAUUGCACCACUACCAGCUGGACCUGCGUUGUAUUAGCUAGUAGGUGAGGUAACGGCUCACCUAGGCGACGAUACAUAGCCGACCUGAGAGGGUGAUCGGCCACACUGGGACUGAGACACGGCCCAGAAUCCUACGGGAGGCAGCAGGAGGGAAUCUUCGGAAAUGGACGAAAGGCUGAACGAGCAACGCCGCGGGAGUGAAGAAGGGUGUCGGAUCGUAAAGCUCUGUUGUAAGAGAAGAAAGGGUGUGAGAGUGGAAAGUUCACACUGUGACGGUAUCUUAACAGAAAGGGACGGCUAACUACGUG
This 505-nucleotide ribosomal RNA is filed under the name uncultured bacterium. RNAcentral describes it as "partial 16S ribosomal RNA". It matches the Rfam family "Bacterial small subunit ribosomal RNA", at positions 28 to 507 of the family's 1533-position model. The record is from RNAcentral.